GAGCAAAACCAUGCAAGCCUUCAAUAAGACAGCUUAAAUCUGACGCCAGGCCAGGGAUUGAACUCUGGUCCUUGCACUUGAGCAGCAGGCGGCGAAACUACUGAGCUGAAUCCCCCGCCCCUAAAUUUGCAUAUCUGAAGCUGGAGCAGAGAAACCCUGAGAAUUUAUUGGAGAAUUUUAAUUCAGUGGACAGUGUAUACUCUGACCUUCAUACUGCACAGGAAAACCUGGAUAACUCAUCAAUGCAAGGGUCAGACUUGAAACAUUCAAACUCAUCAGAUAAUUCAAGAUCUCAUCAUGGAGAAAAUACACAACAUCU
Long non-coding RNA from Heterocephalus glaber (naked mole-rat), 319 nucleotides. The record is from Ensembl. Lineage: Eukaryota; Metazoa; Chordata; Mammalia; Rodentia; Bathyergidae.